RNAcentral lists this ribosomal RNA (497 nucleotides) under uncultured bacterium. Its description in RNAcentral is "partial 16S ribosomal RNA". It matches the Rfam family "Bacterial small subunit ribosomal RNA", at positions 28 to 507 of the family's 1533-position model. The record is from RNAcentral.
GAUGAACGCUGGCGGCGUGCCUAAUACAUGCAAGUAGAACGCUGAAGCUUGGUGCUUGCACCGAGCGGAUGAGUUGCGAACGGGUGAGUAACGCGUAGGUAACCUGCCUGGUAGCGGGGGAUAACUAUUGGAAACGAUAGCUAAUACCGCAUGACAACAGUUAUUACAUGAUAACUGUUUAAAAGGGGCAAUUGCUCCACUACCAGAUGGACCUGCGUUGUAUUAGCUAGUUGGUGAGGUAACGGCUCACCAAGGCGACGAUACAUAGCCGACCUGAGAGGGUGAUCGGCCACACUGGGACUGAGACACGGCCCAGACUCCUACGGGAGGCAGCAGUAGGGAAUCUUCGGCAAUGGACGGAAGUCUGACCGAGCAACGCCGCGGGAGUGAAGAAGGGUUUCGGAUCGUAAAGCUCUGUUGUAAGAGAAGAACGAGUGUGAGAGUGGAAAGUUCACACUGUGACGGUAUCUUACCAGAAAGGGACGGCUAACUACGUG